AGAGAAAGAAAUUCAACAAGAGGGGACACUCUUCAAAAACUGGCAACAGGAAACACGUCACGCCUAGUUUCAACUCCAUCCGUUAGUUGACGCAAGCAUCAAGAAAAAAGAAUGUGAAAUAAACUUCCAGACAACGUUUUAUUUUUUUUAUUCUUUCCCACUAAAAGUGAAAAAGUUUUGCGUGUAAAUGAACUUAUACUUUGCAAUUUCUGGUUGCGUUGCCUAGCAACAAGCUAGCGGCACGCCAGACGCGCGUGCCUACGUCAUGCGCCAGACAAGCCGCAGGAGUGAGCGACGCCGGCUGCGCAUGUGAAGCUCGCGUGCUCGGCGACCCGUCUCUUUUGGAUGUAGCCCGUUUUCGAGGCUCCCGGCGUUCUCUUGUGUUCCGUCUGCAUUUCGACACGGCACCGCUACACUACUGGACUACAGCAAGCUGAUGGCAUCCGGUGGACCUUCGUACGGCAACGACUGCUGCCUACCUGGUGCCCCAACUUUGGAUGAAUGUAGAAGCCCGGAGCGAGUAUUUAUAUAGAGCAAAAUAAACAUUUCAUCAUUU
Molecule: long non-coding RNA, 556 nt
Filed under: Dermacentor andersoni
Lineage: Eukaryota; Metazoa; Arthropoda; Arachnida; Ixodida; Ixodidae
Description: uncharacterized LOC126538865
Source: RNAcentral